This 1542-nucleotide ribosomal RNA is filed under the name Triticum aestivum (bread wheat). RNAcentral's name for it is "partial small subunit ribosomal RNA". The record is from RNAcentral. Lineage: Eukaryota; Viridiplantae; Streptophyta; Magnoliopsida; Poales; Poaceae.
AUGGAGGCGCAGCCGCCGGAGACGGACGCGCAUCCUUCUUCCUCGGCGUCGGUGGCUGCUGCGUCCUCGGAGAGUGCUGUCAUGCAAAUCAGGGCGAAGAGAACAUGCUAUGCCUCUGCCUCAUCUGUGACACGCGGAUGGGCCGAGCUCCCAGACGACUUGCUCCGACCCAUCGUCGCUCUCCUCAGCUCGUUCCGCGACCUCCUCGCCUUUGGUUCCACCUGUCUUCCUUGGCGUGAUUUCUCAGCGCACACGUCCUCUUUGUACCCUCUCCUCCUCCACCCGAGCACCGACAGCCAACGGUAUCCCUGGUACGACUAUGACUACUGGACCCUUUUCCACGAAUGCACGUGGAGAUUGUCUGAUCCUGCUGCCGCCUCAUCCUAUCCCAGUUUGCUUCCCUUGAGUGACCUCAGAGGCAUGUUCUUUCUGCGCUGCUCCUACGGUCACCUCAUCUUCUUCGACAACAAGGGGUUCUACAUUAUUGAUGCGUUCAGUGGCACUAAGGUUGUGACUCCUUGCCUCAAGUCAGACAACUUCGUUCACAUUAGCUAUGCCACCUUGACUGCCCCUGUUGCAUCCGCUGACUCGCAUCUCCUUGUCGGCAGCGGAGGCUAUCUGUUUCAGUGGCGCGUCGGGAGCGACUCUUGGUUGGAACACUAUCCUAAAGUUCCUUUUCUUAGGAUUGAACAAAUCGUGGCCUUCAAGGGCAAAACAUACACCCUGGGGUCUUUUGGGUCCUUCUGCAUCGUACAAUUUUCGCCCUGUCUCUUAGUUCAUAAGUUUGAAAUUAUGUUUGAGGAAGGUAGAACUGAAGAUCGCUAUUGGACAAAUCAAAAAACAUGGCUUGUGGUGUGCGACGUGCUUCUCUUAAUCAAACUUGAGGCAGUAAAAAUGACAAGCUCUGAGGUUUUCCAGUUCAAGGCCUUCAAGCUCAAGUCAUUGGACGCCAAGAACAAGAAGGCAAGGUGGGAGAAGGUGGACAGGUUGAAUAACUGGGCCAUCUUUGUCAGCGCCGACGGGCGAUGCGAGGCGUUGUCGUUCAUGAACCCGGAGAGAUGGGGAGGGAGGAGCAACCUUAUAUACUUCCCAAGUUAUGAGAAAGAACAACCUUGGGCUGCAGUGCAACUAUGGCAAAGAGCUAACAACCAUUCGACAAGUUCGUGGCUCUCGAAACUGGAAGCCAGUACCACAGAUUGGUGCCAACCUGGGUCCUCCCCGCUGCAUUUCGUCGCUCCGGUCAGCAAUGAUCUUACGGCCAUCGCAGAGCCCCACUGUCGCAAGAAUGGACAAGGAAAAGGGGAAGGAGAGGAGAAGGAGAAUGAGAAAGAGAGGAGUUUGGUCUCCAUUAUGAAGACUAAGCCGCCUGCCCCAGGAAGCAGAAGGGGAAGGGCAAGGGCUGUGUCGCUGCCAAGGAAGCAGGCCAAGGAUUACGGCAAUGUCCCGCUCGCCGAGUUGUUAUUACGGGCAAUGGAGCAUGAUAAGCAAGCAGAGAAGGAUUAUGAAGAGGAGGAAGAGAAUGAGGAGGAAGAGGAUGAGUAA